RNAcentral lists this ribosomal RNA (496 nucleotides) under uncultured bacterium. RNAcentral describes it as "partial 16S ribosomal RNA". It matches the Rfam family "Bacterial small subunit ribosomal RNA", at positions 29 to 507 of the family's 1533-position model. The record is from RNAcentral.
AUGAACGCUGGCGGCGUGCCUAAUACAUGCAAGUCGAGCAAACGGACGAGAAGCUUGCUUCUCUGAUGUUAGCGGCGGACGGGUGAGUAACACGUGGAUAACCUACCUAUAAGACUGGGAUAACUUCGGGAAACCGGAGCUAAUACCGGAUAAUAUUUUGAACCGCAUGGUUCAAAAGUGAAAGACGGUCUUGCUGUCACUUAUAGAUGGAUCCGCGCUGCAUUAGCUAGUUGGUAAGGUAACGGCUUACCAAGGCAACGAUGCAUAGCCGACCUGAGAGGGUGAUCGGCCACACUGGAACUGAGACACGGUCCAGACUCCUACGGGAGGCAGCAGUAGGGAAUCUUCCGCAAUGGGCGAAAGCCUGACGGAGCAACGCCGCGUGAGUGAUGAAGGUCUUCGGAUCGUAAAACUCUGUUAUUAGGGAAGAACAUAUGUGUAAGUAACUGUGCACAUCUUGACGGUACCUAAUCAGAAAGCCACGGCUAACUACGUG